GCCUGUGCUGACUCAGCCGCCCUCCCUCUCUGCACCUCCGGAUCAGCCAGACUCUCCUGCACCCUGAGCAGUGGCUUCAGUGCUGAUUUCUACUGGAUAUACUGGUACCAGCAUAAACCAGGGAGCCUCCCCAGUAUCUCCUGAGCCACUACCAAAAUUCACUUCAUGACCAGGGCUCCGGGGUCCCCAGGCACUUCUCUGGAUUAAUGGAAGGCCGGUCCAAUAAAGGGCUCUUGCUCAUAUCUGAUCUCCAGUCUGAGGAUGAGGCUUACUAUUACUGUAUGAUCGAGCACAGCAGAGC
Molecule: long non-coding RNA, 301 nt
Filed under: Homo sapiens (human)
Lineage: Eukaryota; Metazoa; Chordata; Mammalia; Primates; Hominidae
Description: non-protein coding lnc-VPREB1-18:1
Source: RNAcentral